ACAACCUAUCUUUCUCUGACAAGAGGGAACUACUAUAUUCCUAGUCUAAGGAGAGUCUAAUUAUCUUGGUGGCAAAGUCUUUCUAGCUAUCAUUUUGCAUUAUUCUCACCAUUCCCCCUUUCCACUUUCCACAUAUCCAAGGUAACUAAAUCAGCUGUGUUCAGAAGAAAUAUUUUCUGGUGUUCCUGCAGGCACAACACUGAUGGCUGCAGAAAUUUUACUCUAUAAAUUCAGCAUGCCAAAGGAUAUAAACUGACUCUGUAGAAUACAGUUAACUAGCUGUCCUUGGAGAACCCUGGGGGAGGGUCUGCUGCUGCCCUGGAUUGUUGCUGGGACCACGCAGAUGACUGGAGUAGGAGCCAAGCACAACAGCUGGCAUCCAGGGGACUGCACGAGAGAGCUGACAAGAAGCACUAACUGGAGGGGGUGCGGGACCUUUACCACCUUUUCACCUCGGUCAAGCCCCUCCAUUAUUCCCAUGGUUGUCGCUUUGCACAUCGAACGGUCCCUGCCACGUCACCACUGCUUUUCCUCUUGCUUCGGACAUCCUGGGCUCUCGUGCGAGCAGUUUCCGGAACUCGCUGGCAUCUGCCAAUGUUCAUAAUUUGAGAUCCAUUCAUAUUGGAAUCUUUACAAGUUUGGGGCUUAUUGUGUAUUAGAUUAGGCCAAGCAUACAUUAAAUAUUUUUAAUGUUACUGAUAUUAAAUAUUUAUAUUAGUGAUAUUAAUUUUAAUAAUAAAUAUUAUUUUAAUUAUUCAGA
Molecule: long non-coding RNA, 760 nt
Organism: Cavia porcellus (domestic guinea pig)
Lineage: Eukaryota; Metazoa; Chordata; Mammalia; Rodentia; Caviidae
Exons: 3
Source: RefSeq, a predicted model, not a curated record